Molecule: transfer RNA, 73 nt
Filed under: Lycoris squamigera (surprise lily)
Lineage: Eukaryota; Viridiplantae; Streptophyta; Magnoliopsida; Asparagales; Amaryllidaceae
Also listed under: 22 other names
Description: tRNA-Ala
Source: RNAcentral
CAUGCAUACUCCACCUGGCUCGGGGGGAUAUAGCUCAGCGAGAGGCGGUGGUUUACCCUGUGGCGGAUGUCAG